RNAcentral lists this ribosomal RNA (483 nucleotides) under uncultured bacterium. RNAcentral's name for it is "partial 16S ribosomal RNA". It matches the Rfam family "Bacterial small subunit ribosomal RNA", at positions 29 to 506 of the family's 1533-position model. The record is from RNAcentral.
AUUGAACGCUGGCGGCAUGCUUUACACAUGCAAGUCGAACGGCAGCGCGGGCUUCGGCCUGGCGGCGAGUGGCGAACGGGUGAGUAAUACAUCGGAACGUGCCCAGUAGUGGGGGAUAGCUCGGCGAAAGCCGGAUUAAUACCGCAUACGACCUGAGGGUGAAAGCGGGGGAUCUUCGGACCUCGCGCUAUUGGAGCGGCCGAUGGCAGAUUAGCUAGUUGGUGGGGUAAAGGCCUACCAAGGCGACGAUCUGUAGCUGGUCUGAGAGGACGACCCGCCACACUGGGACUGAGACACGGCCCAGACGCCGACGGGAGGCAGCAGUGGGGAAUUUUGGACAAUGGGCGAAAGCCUGAUCCAGCAAUGCCGCGUGUGUGAUGAAGGCCUUCGGGUUGUAAAGCACUUUUGGCGGGAACGAAAAGGACUGUGCCAAUACCACGGUUCGAUGACGGUACCCGCAGAAUAAGCACCGGCUAACUACGU